Molecule: long non-coding RNA, 498 nt
Filed under: Marmota monax (woodchuck)
Lineage: Eukaryota; Metazoa; Chordata; Mammalia; Rodentia; Sciuridae
Source: RNAcentral
GGUCAUUCCAGGCAGAGGGGUGGCCACACAGAGGUCCAGGUAGGAACAGAUAGAGCAGUUCCAGGAAUAGUGACCUUCCUGAGCAUGAUGGAAACGGGGGAGACAGACCUGAGGUGGGAGAAGGGAGCCUCGACUCCCAGCACUGAUGGAAACUGUGUGCCUCAUUCAGUUGGCAGAGGGGAGCCAUGGAAGGUUUUUGAGCACGAGAGUGACUUAAUCAGAACAGUGCUGGAGGAAGAGAAGGGGGUAGCCAUUUGCUGGAUUGGGGUGAGCUGGGAGGUGGCAGGACUAGUUACAAGGCGGGUACCACAGCUCACACAAGAGGGGAGCCCGAAGAGACCAGGCAGAGGGUCCUGCCAGCUCAAGGAGCCUCCCACCACAUGCCCAGCCACCCCCAACCAUCCUCAUGUCCCCAGAGUGAUUCUGCUUCUUCCCCUCUCCAGGGCCCGCCAGGAACAGAAGGCCUCCCAGGUUCCCCAGGCCCAGCUGUGAGUGAGG